UACGUAGGGGGCUAGCGUUGUCCGGAUUUAUUGGGCGUAAAGAGCGUGUAGGCGGCCAUGUAGGUCCGGUGUGAAAACUCGAGGCUUAACCUCGAGAUGUCAUCGGAAACCAUUUGGCUAGAGUCCGGAAGAGGAGAGUGGAAUUCCUGGUGUAGCGGUGAAAUGCGCAGAUAUCAGGAAGAACACCAAUGGCGAAGGCGGUUCUCUGGGACGGUACUGACGCUGAGACGCGAAAGCGUGGGGAGCGAACAGG
Molecule: ribosomal RNA, 253 nt
Filed under: uncultured bacterium
Lineage: Bacteria
Description: partial 16S ribosomal RNA
Rfam family: Bacterial small subunit ribosomal RNA
Source: RNAcentral